RNAcentral lists this ribosomal RNA (495 nucleotides) under uncultured bacterium. Its description in RNAcentral is "partial 16S ribosomal RNA". It matches the Rfam family "Bacterial small subunit ribosomal RNA", at positions 28 to 507 of the family's 1533-position model. The record is from RNAcentral.
GACGAACGCUGGCGGCGUGCCUAAUACAUGCAAGUAGAACGCUGAAGGAGGAGCUUGCUUCUCUGGAUGAGUUGCGAACGGGUGAGUAACGCGUAGGUAACCUGCCUGGUAGCGGGGGAUAACUAUUGGAAACGAUAGCUAAUACCGCAUAAUAGCAGUUAUUGCAUGAUAACUGUUUGAAAGGUGCAAUUGCACCACUACCAGAUGGACCUGCGUUGUAUUAGCUAGUUGGUGGGGUAACGGCUCACCAAGGCGACGAUACAUAGCCGACCUGAGAGGGUGAUCGGCCACACUGGGACUGAGACACGGCCCAGACUCCUACGGGAGGCAGCAGUAGGGAAUCUUCGGCAAUGGACGGAAGUCUGACCGAGCAACGCCGCGUGAGUGAAGAAGGUUUUCGGAUCGUAAAGCUCUGUUGUAAGAGAAGAACGAGUGUGAGAGUGGAAAGUUCACACUGUGACGGUACCUUACCAGAAAGGGACGGCUAACUGCGUG